RNAcentral lists this ribosomal RNA (274 nucleotides) under uncultured bacterium. RNAcentral describes it as "partial 16S ribosomal RNA". It matches the Rfam family "Bacterial small subunit ribosomal RNA", at positions 523 to 796 of the family's 1533-position model. The record is from RNAcentral.
AUACGGAGGGUGCGAGCGUUAAUCGGAAUUACUGGGCGUAAAGCGUGCGUAGGCGGUUUGCUAAGUCAGAUGUGAAAGCCCCGGGCUUAACCUGGGAACUGCAUUUGAUACUGGCAGACUAGAGUAUGAUAGAGGGGGGUAGAAUUCCUGGUGUAGCGGUGAAAUGCGUAGAUAUCAGGAGGAAUACCAGUGGUGAAGGCGGCCCCCUGGAUCAAUACUGACGCUGAGGUACGAAAGCGUGGGGAGCGAACAGGAUUAGAAACCCUAGUAGUCC